GGCGGCGUGCUUAACACAUGCAAGUCGAACGGAGCGAAUGAAAGCUUGCUUUUAUGAGCUUAGUGGCGAACGGGUGAGUAACGCGUAAUCAACCUGCCCUUCAGAGGGGGACAACAGUUGGAAACGACUGCUAAUACCGCAUACGAUCUAACCUUGGCAUCGAGGAUGGAUGAAAGGUGGCCUCUAUUUAUAAGCUAUCACUGAAGGAGGGGAUUGCGUCUGAUUAGCUAGUUGGAGGGGUAACGGCCCACCAAGGCGAUGAUCAGUAGCCGGUCUGAGAGGAUGAACGGCCACAUUGGGACUGAGACACGGCCCAGACUCCUACGGGAGGCAGCAGUGGGGAAUCUUCCGCAAUGGACGAAAGUCUGACGGAGCAACGCCGCGUGAGUGAUAACGGCCUUCGGGUUGUAAAGCUCUGUUAAUCGGGACGAAAGGCCUUC
This 440-nucleotide ribosomal RNA is filed under the name Veillonella dispar. Its description in RNAcentral is "bacterial SSU rRNA". It matches the Rfam family "Bacterial small subunit ribosomal RNA", at positions 38 to 457 of the family's 1533-position model. The record is from RNAcentral. Lineage: Bacteria; Bacillati; Bacillota; Negativicutes; Veillonellales; Veillonellaceae.